This is a long non-coding RNA of Zea mays, 474 nucleotides long. RefSeq lists it as uncharacterized. The record is from RefSeq and is a predicted model, not a curated record. The transcript is spliced from 2 exons. NCBI's taxonomy places the organism in Eukaryota, Viridiplantae, Streptophyta, Magnoliopsida, Poales, Poaceae.
CUCUCCCCAAAUUAGUUGUGCAUGGUGAAUCAGUAGUCCCUUGCGGCCGUAUGGCCCCAACGUGACCUCCUAAUUCCACCAGAGAUCGUCGUGACGCCGUUUUCCCCUUUUCAGACACCGCCGAGCACAAAUUCUCCGUGCUUCGUGGCCAGCCGUCUCCAGGUCGGUGCAGCCCUUCGUCUCAAGGCAUGUCACUAUGUCGACAAGUGACUUCAAACAUGACACAAACUAUCAUGGACCGAUCAGAGACUACUCCAUAGACAGAAAAUCCACCUGCCGGGAACUGAUUCUAUUUUGAUAUUUGUGGAACAGAGCCCGACUCUCCUACCACACAAGGAAAGCCCCGGUGCAUUUGCCACCUCCUUGCUGUUUUAAAACUCUUUAUCACUUAAAUGAUGCAUUAGGUAAUAGGAGUUGGGUGUUAAACCAAUUGCUGCAUUUCCUCCCUUGGAUCUGUUUACCAUUCCUUGAUUA